CUUGGUCAUUUAGAGGAAGUAAAAGUCGUAACAAGGUUUCCGUAGGUGAACCUGCGGAAGGAUCAUUAUUGAAAUUAUAGGUGAGGGUUGUAGCUGGCCUCUCGGGGCAUGUGCACGCCCGAGCCCUUAAUCCACACACACCUGUGAACCUAUUGUAAGGGCCCUUAAAAAAGGCCUUUACGUCCUAUCAUCAACCCAUCGUAUGUCUCAUAGAAUGUAAAUAUAUGUCCUCGCCUUAAAAAGCGUUGAUAAACUUAUACAACUUUCAACAACGGAUCUCUUGGCUCUCGCAUCGAUGAAGAACAAAGCGAAAUGCGAUAAGUAAUGUGAAUUGCAGAUUUUCAGUGAAUCAUCGAAUCUUUGAACGCACCUUGCGCUCCUUGGUAUUCCGAGGAGCAUGCCUGUUUGAGUGUCAUUAAAUUCUCAACUCUGAUCGAUUUGUUUCGACUUCGGAGCUUGGAUUUGGAGCGUGCUGGCGUCGGUCGGCUCCUCUUAAAUGCAUCAGCGGAAUCUAACGUUUCGGACGUCAGUGUGAUAAUCAUGUUGCGCUGUCUGUCUGAUCCGAAAGCCCGCUCACAAUGGUCUUCGGACAACUUCAUAUCAAAUUUGACCUCAAAUCAGGUAGGACUACCCUCUGAACUUAAGCAUAUCAAUAAGCGGAGGA
RNAcentral lists this ribosomal RNA (664 nucleotides) under uncultured Piloderma. RNAcentral describes it as "eukaryotic LSU rRNA". The stretch from base 261 to 415 matches the Rfam family "5.8S ribosomal RNA". The record is from RNAcentral. Lineage: Eukaryota; Fungi; Basidiomycota; Agaricomycetes; Atheliales; Atheliaceae.